CCGAGUGAGGGCCUCCGGCCCGACCUCCAACCCUUUGUUGACCAACACCUGUUGCCUCGGGGGCGACCCGGCCUCCGCGCCGGGGCCCCCGAUGGACCAAUCAACUCUGUAUCUGUACGUCGGAGUAAAUGCAAAUCAAUUA
This 142-nucleotide unclassified non-coding RNA is filed under the name uncultured Capnodiales. RNAcentral describes it as "sequence contains ITS1". Lineage: Eukaryota; Fungi; Ascomycota; Dothideomycetes; Capnodiales. The record is from RNAcentral.